GCGCGAGUGGUUUAGUGGUAAAAUUCACCGUUGCCAUCGAUGAGCCCCCAGUUCGAUUCCCGGGCUCGCGCA
Molecule: transfer RNA, 72 nt
Filed under: Brettanomyces bruxellensis
Lineage: Eukaryota; Fungi; Ascomycota; Pichiomycetes; Pichiales; Pichiaceae
Description: tRNA-Gly
Rfam family: tRNA
About the family: Transfer RNA (tRNA) molecules are approximately 80 nucleotides in length. Their secondary structure includes four short double-helical elements and three loops (D, anti-codon, and T loops).
Source: RNAcentral